RNAcentral lists this transfer RNA (77 nucleotides) under Burkholderiaceae bacterium. RNAcentral describes it as "tRNA-Leu". It matches the Rfam family "tRNA". From Rfam's summary of the family: Transfer RNA (tRNA) molecules are approximately 80 nucleotides in length. Their secondary structure includes four short double-helical elements and three loops (D, anti-codon, and T loops). The record is from RNAcentral. Lineage: Bacteria; Pseudomonadati; Pseudomonadota; Betaproteobacteria; Burkholderiales; Burkholderiaceae.
GCCCCGGUGGCGGAAUUGGUAGACGCACUGGUCUUAGGUAUCAGCAGCUGAGAGUUCGAGUCUCUCUUGGGGCACCA